This 1172-nucleotide ribosomal RNA is filed under the name Serratia nematodiphila. RNAcentral's name for it is "bacterial SSU rRNA". It matches the Rfam family "Bacterial small subunit ribosomal RNA", at positions 31 to 1168 of the family's 1533-position model. Lineage: Bacteria; Pseudomonadati; Pseudomonadota; Gammaproteobacteria; Enterobacterales; Yersiniaceae. The record is from RNAcentral.
CGGCCCUUGCGGCAGGCUUACACAUGCAAGUCGAGCGGUAGCACAGGGGAGCUUGCUCCCCGGGUGACGAGCGGCGGACGGGUGAGUAAUGUCUGGGAAACUGCCUGAUGGAGGGGGAUAACUACUGGAAACGGUAGCUAAUACCGCAUAACGUCGCAAGACCAAAGAGGGGGACCUUCGGGCCUCUUGCCAUCAGAUGUGCCCAGAUGGGAUUAGCUAGUAGGUGGGGUAAUGGCUCACCUAGGCGACGAUCCCUAGCUGGUCUGAGAGGAUGACCAGCCACACUGGAACUGAGACACGGUCCAGACUCCUACGGGAGGCAGCAGUGGGGAAUAUUGCACAAUGGGCGCAAGCCUGAUGCAGCCAUGCCGCGUGUGUGAAGAAGGCCUUCGGGUUGUAAAGCACUUUCAGCGAGGAGGAAGGUGGUGAGCUUAAUACGCUCAUCAAUUGACGUUACUCGCAGAAGAAGCACCGGCUAACUCCGUGCCAGCAGCCGCGGUAAUACGGAGGGUGCAAGCGUUAAUCGGAAUUACUGGGCGUAAAGCGCACGCAGGCGGUUUGUUAAGUCAGAUGUGAAAUCCCCGGGCUCAACCUGGGAACUGCAUUUGAAACUGGCAAGCUAGAGUCUCGUAGAGGGGGGUAGAAUUCCAGGUGUAGCGGUGAAAUGCGUAGAGAUCUGGAGGAAUACCGGUGGCGAAGGCGGCCCCCUGGACGAAGACUGACGCUCAGGUGCGAAAGCGUGGGGAGCAAACAGGAUUAGAUACCCUGGUAGUCCACGCUGUAAACGAUGUCGAUUUGGAGGUUGUGCCCUUGAGGCGUGGCUUCCGGAGCUAACGCGUUAAAUCGACCGCCCUGGGGAGUACGGCCGCAAAGUUAAAACUCAAAUGAAUUUGACGGGGGGCCCGCACAAGCGGUGGGAGCAUGUGGUUUUAAUUCGAUGCAACGCGGAAGAACCCUUACCUACUCUUUGACCAUCCAGAGGAACUUUGCAGAGAAUGGCUUUGGGUGGUCUUUCGGGGAACCUCUGAAGAACAGGUGCUGCAUGGGCUGGUCGUUCAGCUCGGUGUUGGUGGAAUGGUUGGGGUUAAGGUCCCGCCAACGAAGCGCAACCCUUAUCCCUUUGGUUGGCCAGGCGAUUCCGGCCGGGGAGACCUCUAAGGAAAAACUGUGCC